Molecule: ribosomal RNA, 253 nt
Filed under: uncultured bacterium
Lineage: Bacteria
Description: partial 16S ribosomal RNA
Rfam family: Bacterial small subunit ribosomal RNA
Source: RNAcentral
UACGAAGGGGGCUAGCGUUGCUCGGAAUCACUGGGCGUAAAGGGUGCGUAGGCGGGCCUUUAAGUCAGGGGUGAAAUCCUGGAGCUCAACUCCAGAACUGCCUUUGAUACUGAGGAUCUUGAGUUCGGGAGAGGUGAGUGGAACUGCGAGUGUAGAGGUGAAAUUCGUAGAUAUUCGCAAGAACACCAGUGGCGAAGGCGGCUCACUGGCCCGGUACUGACGCUGAGGUGCGAAAGCGUGGGGAGCAGACAGG